CAAAGGCAUGGUCCUGACCUUACUGUCAACUUUAGCCCAACUUACACAUGCAAGUCUCCGCAGCCCCGUGAGUACGCCCUCAAUCCCCUGCUUGGGGACAAGGAGCGGGCAUCAGGCACAAAUUUUUAGCCCAAGACGCCUAGCCUGGCCACACCCCCAAGGGAAUUCAGCAGUGAUAAACAUUAAGCCAUUAGUGAAAACUUGACUCAGUCAGGGUUAAGAGGGCCGGUAAAACUCGUGCCAGCCACCGCGGUUAAACGAGAGGCCCCAGUUGACAGUACCACGGCGUAAAGGGUGGUUAAGGAUAACAUUAAAUUUUUUAAAGCCAAAUGGCCCCUUGGCCGUCAUACGCUUCUAGGUGUCCGAAGCCCAAUUAAACGAAAGUAGCUUUAAUAACCCCGCCUGAUCCCACGAAAGCUGAGAAACAAACUGGGAUUAGAUAGCCCACUAUGCUCAGCCAUAAACCCAGAUGUCUAACUACAAUUUAACAUCCGCCAGGGUACUACGAGCAUUAGCUUAAAACCCAAAGGACCUGACGGUGCCUUAGACCCCCCUAGAGGAGCCUGUUCUAGAACCGAUAACCCCCGUUAAACCUCACCACUUCUAGCCAUCCCAGCCUAUAUACCGCCGUCGCCAGCUUACCCUGUGAAGGUAUUAAAAGUAAGCAAAACGGGUACAACCCAGUACGUCAGGUCGAGGUGUAGCGCACGAAGUGGGAAGAAAUGGGCUACAUUUUCUACCACAUAGAAUACUACGAAUGUGCAACAUGAAAUAGUGCUUGAAGGAGGAUUUAGUAGUAAAAAGGAAGCAGAGCGUCCUUUUGAACCCGGCUCUAAGGCGCGUACACACCGCCCGUCACUCUCCCCUGUCAACAUGCAAUAAAAAUUUAUAAUACAAAAGCACCGACAAGGGGAGGCAAGUCGUAACAUGGUAAGUGUACCGGAAGGUGCACUUGGAUAAAACC
Molecule: non-coding RNA, 964 nt
Filed under: Xenophysogobio boulengeri
Lineage: Eukaryota; Metazoa; Chordata; Actinopteri; Cypriniformes; Gobionidae
Description: 12S ribosomal RNA
Rfam family: Bacterial small subunit ribosomal RNA
Source: RNAcentral